GUGCACCUGUCCAUACUACAUUAUUAAACGACUCUCGGCAACGGAUAUCUCGGCUCUCGCAUCGAUGAAGAACGUAGCGAAAUGCGAUACUUGGUGUGAAUUGCAGAAUCCCGUGAACCAUCGAGUCUUUGAACGCAAGUUGCGCCCGAAGCUUCGGGC
Molecule: ribosomal RNA, 159 nt
Filed under: Conophytum calculus
Lineage: Eukaryota; Viridiplantae; Streptophyta; Magnoliopsida; Caryophyllales; Aizoaceae
Description: 5.8S ribosomal RNA
Rfam family: 5.8S ribosomal RNA (bases 30-159)
About the family: 5.8S ribosomal RNA (5.8S rRNA) is a component of the large subunit of the eukaryotic ribosome.
Source: RNAcentral